RNAcentral lists this non-coding RNA (28 nucleotides) under Cricetulus griseus (Chinese hamster). RNAcentral also lists the same sequence under 1 other name. Lineage: Eukaryota; Metazoa; Chordata; Mammalia; Rodentia; Cricetidae. The record is from RNAcentral.
UACAGAGAAGAUUAGCAUGGCCCCUGCA